AAUUUUUGAAGAGUUAGAAUUCUCAUGAUGUCCUUUGCCAUUGCUUUCAAUGGUGUGGAACAGAUCCUUAUUGUUAUAGAUAUAGAAACUAUUCUUAGACCCUUAUUUAUAAGCUAGAGCAUUUAUUCAUACCCUCCUCCCCCCCAACCCCAAAAAGAAAAAAAGAAGCAAUUGAAAAAUUAGCACUAUUUACAUUCCAUUUUCUUAAUUGAAGGAAAAAAAUCUUUGAUUACGUAGAAUGCUGACCUUUUGGUUCUUGUGGUAUCACUUUCAUUGAUCAUUGAUUUUGGCAGUUGUUCCCCCCUUUCUUUUAGAUGGUGCUUCUGGAAGAGUUCUUGACAUUUAUUAUUUCCCCUCUGUUUUGGUUAGCAGAUGCAGAUUACAACUGGAA
This 391-nucleotide unclassified non-coding RNA is filed under the name Hevea brasiliensis (rubber tree). The record is from RNAcentral. Lineage: Eukaryota; Viridiplantae; Streptophyta; Magnoliopsida; Malpighiales; Euphorbiaceae.